Molecule: ribosomal RNA, 497 nt
Filed under: uncultured bacterium
Lineage: Bacteria
Description: partial 16S ribosomal RNA
Rfam family: Bacterial small subunit ribosomal RNA
Source: RNAcentral
GACGAACGCUGGCGGCGUGCCUAAUACAUGCAAGUUGAGCGCUGAAGGUUGGUACUUGUACCGACUGGAUGAGCAGCGAACGGGUGAGUAACGCGUGGGGAAUCUGCCUUUGAGCGGGGGACAACAUUUGGAAACGAAUGCUAAUACCGCAUAAAAACUUUAAACACAAGUUUUAAGUUUGAAAGAUGCAAUUGCAUCACUCAAAGAUGAUCCCGCGUUGUAUUAGCUAGUUGGUGAGGUAAAGGCUUACCAAGGCGAUGAUACAUAGCCGACCUGAGAGGGUGAUCGGCCACAUUGGGACUGAGACACGGCCCAAACUCCUACGGGAGGCAGCAGUAGGGAAUCUUCGGCAAUGGACGAAAGUCUGACCGAGCAACGCCGCGUGAGUGAAGAAGGUUUUCGGAUCGUAAAACUCUGUUGGUAGAGAAGAACGUUGGUGAGAGUGGAAAGCUCAUCAAGUGACGGUAACUACCCAGAAAGGGACGGCUAACUACGUG